Molecule: long non-coding RNA, 671 nt
Filed under: Chinchilla lanigera (long-tailed chinchilla)
Lineage: Eukaryota; Metazoa; Chordata; Mammalia; Rodentia; Chinchillidae
Description: lncRNA (ENSCLAG00000027611.1)
Source: RNAcentral
GGUGUGGCUUGUGAGAGGUGCUUGCUAGAGCCCGGAUUCCAUGUCCAGGAACAGACAAGUACGCGGAAGGCUGCCUGGCUCCUGGCUGUGCAGAGGAGGCAACCACAGCAUCCCUAAGGCAAGAUAACAUCUGCAGAGGACAAUCUGAAGAAUGUGGGUGUAUCGAGAGGGAGAAGGACUUGUUCUCCACUAGCUUGUUCCCUACCCACUGCAGUUCCUGUCCCAUCAAACACACACCAUCCCUUCUGCUGAGUGCCUCGCAGGCUAGGAAAAGUGAGUCAGCUGCAGAGAUUGUGUGUUUGUCCCCUAGAGGCGGGUUCCUCCCAGUCCCCUUGCACCUUGAAUAUUGUCUACUUUCAUUCCCCACCAUUCUCCUCCUCAGGUAUCCAGGGGUCUGAUCAGCCCCUGGCAGUUCUUUCAUGUUUGUAGCCACUUGUACUUCUCCUUCUGAGAAAUGUCUACUCAUUUCAGUUGCUCAAUUUUUGAUUGUUUCUUUUUAUGUUGGGAGGUGUAAUUAAAAAAGAUCUUUAUUUAUUCUAGAUGUGAGUCCUCUGUCUGAGGGACUUCAUUUGUCUUUUGAGGAAAGCAGCUGGAUCCGAUUUGUUGAGGACUGUCCCACCCCACCCCCCGGUCAGGCCUCUGGCCUAGGACUCUGGUAACAACUGCUCUUC